Molecule: long non-coding RNA, 1902 nt
Filed under: Nicotiana tabacum (common tobacco)
Lineage: Eukaryota; Viridiplantae; Streptophyta; Magnoliopsida; Solanales; Solanaceae
Description: long non-coding RNA (NTAB_LNC008857)
Source: RNAcentral
GUACGUGUAUACAAUUAAUAGAACUUUAUUAUUAUUAAGAUUGUAUGGCCAAAGUCGCGCGAACGCGUACUUUAAUUUAUUCUUGGAUCAUAAUCAUAUCUCGUGAACGUGUACAGAAUCACGAUAAUCGAUUAAAAUAUUCCUAAAGCAUUCUACGAAUUUUCAAGUUUGUCUUCCUAGGUUUGGGGUUGCUGUGGAGGUCUAGCUAUUAUGAACAUUAUUUGAAAGAUGAUAUCUUGGUCACUAGGUAUAUUGCACAAGGAUGCAUUCUUCAUUUUUUAAAGCUCCUAGAAUAAAUACGUGACCACUGUGACCUUGAUUACAUUUUAGGGAUGAUAGAGUAUAUGGAGAGGAAAUUAAGCUAAAUCUAACUCUAAAUUAUUUACAAUUUAAGGUUGUUCAACAGAAAGUCACGGAAGAGAAAGGAAAUUAAAUUCAAAACUAUUACAUCUUGUUACUACAGGCCAAAUGGGAUCCCAAAUCGAAAUCCUUGUGUGGGGCUUGGGCCUGGUAGAUUUCACGUGGCCAGACCCUACAUAAACCUCCAGUGCUCUUAAUUUACAAGAGAACCCGAGAUGGGCCUGUCAUGGCACCCAGGCCUAAUAACAAAACUCAAACUGUAAAGAUCAGUGAAACACAAUGAAGACUGCCAUCUUCAAGAUCACACAUACAAUUGAUUUCUACAUUGUAAACUGGAUCGCAAUACUAAAAGAAAUUUAGCUCUUAUGUGAUUCAAAAAAUUAUUACAUUAAGAUUACUGUUCUACCAAAUACAAUUAUGAAUUCUUAAUAGAUCUCUUAGAACCAAAUGUAUCCCAAAUCUUCGUUUCUAAUCAUCCAUGCCUAUCACAAUGAAUUUAGAAUUGCUCAAUUUAACUUUGAGACCUCUAACUAAUGCAUUUGACCAACUGGUGGUCAAAUUCAUGAGCUAGUUGAAUCUGCAACACCAACCAACAUAUGAUAAAAAUAUUUAUAUUUCUAGUUCAAGUAAUAAACAAACUCAGUUUUGAUCUGGCAACUUGAUAUCACUAAUUUCUAUUAACAAACAACAGAUUAACAAGUAGAAAUCGAAAUACAAAUCACAGAAUCGAACUCAAUUUUAUAUAUGUUUACUGUUAAUCGAGUCCACAGCAGGCUGUAGGUGAUAGUUACAUCAACUGUUUUCAAUAUUAAUUCAGAAUUAUGAUCCAUAUGCAAGAAGCAUUCAACAAAGGGAAAAAUCAUUGCAGACUACAUUAAUUGAGAUUAAACAAGUACCUUAGCAGCAGAAAAAUAAAUGGCAAGUUGCCAAAUAAAGGCUGAAAUCAACUAGAGUUAGAGCUCAGCUAAUCGAGAAAACAGCAAAUCCAAGCAGAGAAACAACUUCAAAUUUGACCCAAAAUCAGCUUGAAACCCAGAAAAAUGUUAAAGUGAAUUGACAGAAUUUAGGAAGCACUUUUAAAAUAUAUUUUUUUGUUUUUGUUGUGAUUUUCUGGAGUAUUUUUGUUCUUCAGAACUGAAAUUUUUAUCUCAAAUUUAGCUCCCUCUAAACGUGAGAGAGAGAGAGUGUAUUGAUAGUGAAUUGGUGAGAAUAAUCAGUGAAUGCGUGAGUAAUCAUGAGGGAAUGUACUUCUCUUAUAGCAGAAUGGGAGCUACAUUUUUCUGUUAUUUCUCUUUCUUUUUAGUACCUUUUAUUUUCUUUAUUUUACUCCCCCAGUCCCUCAUUUGACCUAAUUUCACCGUUUUAUUGCUUUUCAGUCCUUUCUCUUCCCUCCUAGAAGCUUCUAAAUCAGUUAACAGCAAAUAUUCCCUCAGUUUAAUUGCCUUAAAUACCCCAUUUUCUCCCCUGUAUUUACUAUUCUUUCAUAUCUUACCUUGCUCCUAAGAUCAACUCGAAUUGGGACUACAUCUUGGCCUGUUUCCU